Molecule: ribosomal RNA, 464 nt
Filed under: uncultured bacterium
Lineage: Bacteria
Description: partial 16S ribosomal RNA
Rfam family: Bacterial small subunit ribosomal RNA
Source: RNAcentral
CUACGGGCUGCUGCAGCGGGGAAUAUUGCACAAUGGGCGCAAGCCUGAUGCAGCCAUGCCGCGUGUAUGAAGAAGGCCUUCGGGUUGUAAAGUACUUUCAGCGGGGAGGAAGGGAGUAAAGUUAAUACCUUUGCUCAUUGACGUUACCCGCAGAAGAAGCACCGGCUAACUCCGUGCCAGCAGCCGCGGUAAUACGGAGGGUGCAAGCGUUAAUCGGAAUUACUGGGCGUAAAGCGCACGCAGGCGGUUUGUUAAGUCAGAUGUGAAAUCCCCGGGCUCAACCUGGGAACUGCAUCUGAUACUGGCAAGCUUAAGUCUCGUAGAGGGGGGUAGAAUUCCAGGUGUAGCGGUGAAAUGCGUAGAGAUCUGGAGGAAUACCGGUGGCGAAGGCGGCCCCCUGGACGAAGACUGACGCUCAGGUGCGAAAGCGUGGGGAGCAAACAGGAUUAGAUACCCCAGUAGUC